UUGGGUUGGGUUGUGUAAAGUAUCAAAUUGGGUUCGUCUCUGAAUGGGCAGCUCUUUGAAAAACAUGUCAAAUGGAUUCGAGUCAAAACAGGUUGGGUCAGAGCGGGUUCGCAUGCUAUGUUUGUUUUUAUGGAGGUUAGUGGCGAUGGUUGUGUUGGCGGCAUGGCUACUGCUGUGGUGGCACCGAUGACGACUGAUAGAUGACUCUUUUUUGCUUUAACAGCACAUAGAUCGCCACAGCGUAAUGCAUCACAUGGAUCACUGAGGUGGAUUAACAUCCUAUAAUCCGGAUUGCCAACCUGGCAGGUGACACAAUGCCUUGCAUUUUGUCUAAGAGCAUGUGUUUCCUGCCACAUAGAUCAGAUGUUGGCUAG
RNAcentral lists this long non-coding RNA (374 nucleotides) under Helianthus annuus (common sunflower). RNAcentral describes it as "sRNA HanXRQr2_Chr11g0518611". Lineage: Eukaryota; Viridiplantae; Streptophyta; Magnoliopsida; Asterales; Asteraceae. The record is from RNAcentral.